AUUGAACGCUGGCGGCAUGCCUUACACAUGCAAGUCGAACGGUAACGGGCCUUCGGGUGCCGACGAGUGGCGAACGGGUGAGUAAUACAUCGGAACGUGCCCGAUCGUGGGGGAUAACGAGGCGAAAGCUUUGCUAAUACCGCAUACGAUCUACGGAUGAAAGCAGGGGACCGCAAGGCCUUGCGCGGACGGAGCGGCCGAUGGCAGAUUAGGUAGUUGGUGGGAUAAAAGCUUACCAAGCCGACGAUCUGUAGCUGGUCUGAGAGGAUGAUCAGCCACACUGGGACUGAGACACGGCCCAGACUCCUACGGGAGGCAGCAGUGGGGAAUUUUGGACAAUGGGCGCAAGCCUCAUCCAGCCAUGCCGCGUGCAGGAUGAAGGCCUUCGGGUUGUAAACUGCUUUUGUACGGAACGAAAAGCCUUCUUUUAAUACAGGAGGGUCAUGACGGUACCGUAAGAAUAAGCACCGGCUAACUACGUG
Molecule: ribosomal RNA, 482 nt
Filed under: uncultured bacterium
Lineage: Bacteria
Description: partial 16S ribosomal RNA
Rfam family: Bacterial small subunit ribosomal RNA
Source: RNAcentral